GAGACCAUAGUUAAGAAUACACAUGGUUUCUUGACUAAUCGUGCCCGUUCUUUUGAAAAUACAUUAGAGACUGGUGGUAUAUCCCCUCAUAUUUCUGAGGUUACUCUUUCGCAAUUGGCAACUUCUUCACAAUCUCAUCUGAUGUCAGAUUCAGGAUUUCCAUUCAACUCUAGUUUAUCUGUCAUUCCUGAGAUCCAGUAUUCCCCUAGUCUGGUUCCUGGGCAAGCCAAGGUCCCUCAGUUUCCUGAAUUAAAUGCGCUCUACUCUAAGACGGACAAUGUGAACCCUGAAUUUUCAGGACAUGGCUUCAAUACACCGGA
RNAcentral lists this unclassified non-coding RNA (320 nucleotides) under Hevea brasiliensis (rubber tree). The record is from RNAcentral. Lineage: Eukaryota; Viridiplantae; Streptophyta; Magnoliopsida; Malpighiales; Euphorbiaceae.